Molecule: long non-coding RNA, 275 nt
Organism: Chelmon rostratus (copperband butterflyfish)
Lineage: Eukaryota; Metazoa; Chordata; Actinopteri; Chaetodontiformes; Chaetodontidae
Exons: 3
Source: RefSeq, a predicted model, not a curated record
UUUCUGCAGGCAGGUGCAUCAGCUGCUGAUGUCGAAGAGGCACUUACCCUGCCUGCCAGUCCUCGGUUGAUACUGGUUGGUGAUACUCCACAUUGGAUGCUGAGCAUUGAGGGCCAGGUGGUGUGUGAGGGGACCACCUUUGUGUCUGGCCUUGCAGUACUUUUUGCGUCAUAUUACAACUUUAACCUGCAGUACCAGGAUGAGGCGGCUUGUACGCUGGAGUUCAUUCAAAGACGGUUCAUCGAUAUAAAUCCUGAGAAGGGAACAAGAGCCCA